RNAcentral lists this ribosomal RNA (497 nucleotides) under uncultured bacterium. RNAcentral describes it as "partial 16S ribosomal RNA". It matches the Rfam family "Bacterial small subunit ribosomal RNA", at positions 28 to 507 of the family's 1533-position model. The record is from RNAcentral.
GACGAACGCUGGCGGCGUGCCUAAUACAUGCAAGUUGAGCGCUGAAGGUUGGUACUUGUACCAACUGGAUGAGCAGCGAACGGGUGAGUAACGCGUGGGGAAUCUGCCUUUGAGCGGGGGACAACAUUUGGAAACGAAUGCUAAUACCGCAUAAAAACUUUAAACACAAGUUUUAAGUUUGAAAGAUGCAAUUGCAUCACUCAAAGAUGAUCCCGCGUUGUAUUAGCUAGUUGGUGAGGUAAAGGCUCACCAAGGCGAUGAUACAUAGCCGACCUGAGAGGGUGAGCGGCCACAUUGGGAGUGAGACACGGCCCAAACUCCUAGGGGAGGCAGCAGUAGGGAAUCUUCGGCAAUGGACGGAAGUCUGACCGCGCAACGCCGCGUGAGUGAAGAAGGUUUUCGGAUCGUAAAACCCUGUUGGUAGAGAAGAACGUUGGUGAGAGUGGAAAGCUCAUCAAGUGACGGUAACUACCCAGAAAGGGACGGCUAACUACGUG